This 349-nucleotide ribosomal RNA is filed under the name uncultured Streptococcus sp. RNAcentral describes it as "bacterial SSU rRNA". It matches the Rfam family "Bacterial small subunit ribosomal RNA", at positions 1031 to 1382 of the family's 1533-position model. The record is from RNAcentral. Lineage: Bacteria; Bacillati; Bacillota; Bacilli; Lactobacillales; Streptococcaceae.
UGGACAGGUGGUGCAUGGUUGUCGUCAGCUCGUGUCGUGAGAUGUUGGGUUAAGUCCCGCAACGAGCGCAACCCCUAUUGUUAGUUGCCAUCAUUCAGUUGGGCACUCUAGCGAGACUGCCGGUAAUAAACCGGAGGAAGGUGGGAUGACGUCAAAUCAUCAUGCCCCUUAUGACCUGGGCUACACACGUGCUACAAUGGUCGGUACAACGAGUUGCGAGUCGGUGACGGCGAGCUAAUCUCUUAAAGCCAAUCUCAGUUCGGAUUGUAGGCUGCAACUCGCCUACAUGAAGUCGGAAUCGCUAGUAAUCGCGGAUCAGCACGCCGCGGUGAAUACGUUCCCGGGCCUU